CCACUGAAUGGCUGACGUGGAGGGCGUUCCCUCUCCUGAAGCCUACCAUCUUCGCCUCCUCCGGUACCAUCAGCACCCUCAUACACUCGUGAAGCUCCACCGAUGUACCCAUUUCCAAAAUCACGAUUUUGACUCAUCGAACCUCCUCGUCCACCCCUACCACGACCAGGCCCACCUCGGCCAGCCCCGCCACGUACCCCGGUAGUGUUCCUCACCUCCCUUGACUCUCGC
RNAcentral lists this long non-coding RNA (231 nucleotides) under Musa acuminata (dwarf banana). RNAcentral describes it as "long non-coding RNA (MACU_LNC001801)". The record is from RNAcentral. Lineage: Eukaryota; Viridiplantae; Streptophyta; Magnoliopsida; Zingiberales; Musaceae.